Pantherophis guttatus is the source of this 518-nucleotide non-coding RNA. The record is from RefSeq and is a predicted model, not a curated record. Lineage: Eukaryota; Metazoa; Chordata; Lepidosauria; Squamata; Colubridae.
GGAACGUCAUCCGUUUUUUUUUUUCCCGUGAUCCAACGCUGUGAAAGGCGGUAGCACUGCUGCAGUAGCGGCGCCGCCGCCGCUACCGAAGACGACUCCAUCCGGGUCCUGGAUGGUGCUGUAGAGACGGGAACCGCCGUAUUACAGUAACUUCCUGCCAACUGAAGUAAAAGAAAAGAUUUAUAGGUAGUUCUUGCUUUAUGAACGUAAUUGGAACUCUAACUUUCAUCGCUUUACAUGUAUAAUCAACAGAAGGCUGUCCUGAUGUCAUCUUAGAUUCAAGAUUUGAGCGAUGAAGAUAGUACUUUUUCCAAGAGUGGAUUCCUGGGAUCACAGAGAUAUUGCAGAAAGCCCACCUUUUUAGACACAUAUUUCUAUAAAUAUAAACAAUUGCACUAUUACUGUGAAAUUUAAAUUGCUUUCUCCAAAUCUGCUUUAGUAAAUAUAGCAAUUCUAAUUUGUUAACAACUAUCUUCUGUAAAUAUCAUUUAUUAGAUUAAAAAGAAUGUUGGAAGGUU